Molecule: long non-coding RNA, 645 nt
Organism: Lontra canadensis (Northern American river otter)
Lineage: Eukaryota; Metazoa; Chordata; Mammalia; Carnivora; Mustelidae
Exons: 3
Source: RefSeq, a predicted model, not a curated record
GGAUGACCGGCUCGACCUCCAGCCCUGCACUCCCGGCGGUGCUCCCAGUCCCUUGCCACGCAGGGCCUUCUGUGGGACGCCCACCCAGAUACAUCCCAAACACAGCUGCGGGACCCCUCGAACCUUGCUACCCUUCUGUACCCACUCCUAGAAGUCAUCACGGCAGCUGGAAAGCACUGCCGGCCUCCUCGUGGUUGCGGGUAGACCCUUAAGUGACCGCGACACACCCCGUGUAAUUUGUCUGUGGCGCCCUCCACAAGCCAUAAUUAAAACGCAGAACUCAAAAUGGACAGUCCAGGACAAUCUCGUAUGAGAAUAGGAAGGGACCUGGACGUCAUUUUGCCUCCACCGUUUUUGUUACAUAAUGGAAACCAGACAGAGAGGGAAGGCCACUUGCCCAGGGUUACCCCACUGGUAAUUUUGCAGCAUAAUGUGACCUUGGAGCCCUGGACUGGAAAGCGGCUUGUUUUCAACUAAGAAAGAGCUGUUCUAUUUGUUCCAUUCACCCUAAAAAGAUAUCUUCACACAAAAAACCUCGACAACGUACAUGACUUGUCUCUUCUGCUGCUACUGCCCUGAGCCAGGGCAGACCUUUGCAUCUGGAGGAGAGUAAACUUCUUUAAGACCAGAAGGGAUCUGGCAGGA